This 1219-nucleotide ribosomal RNA is filed under the name Enterococcus faecium. RNAcentral's name for it is "bacterial SSU rRNA". It matches the Rfam family "Bacterial small subunit ribosomal RNA", at positions 105 to 1311 of the family's 1533-position model. Lineage: Bacteria; Bacillati; Bacillota; Bacilli; Lactobacillales; Enterococcaceae. The record is from RNAcentral.
GGUGAGUAACACGUGGGUAACCUCGCCCAUCAGAAGGGGAUAACACUUGGAAACAGGUGCUAAUACCGUAUAACAAUCAAAACCGCAUGGUUUUGAUUUGAAAGGCGCUUUCGGGUGUCGCUGAUGGAUGGACCCGCGGUGCAUUAGCUAGUUGGUGAGGUAACGGCUCACCAAGGCCACGAUGCAUAGCCGACCUGAGAGGGUGAUCGGCCACAUUGGGACUGAGACACGGCCCAAACUCCUACGGGAGGCAGCAGUAGGGAAUCUUCGGCAAUGGACGAAAGUCUGACCGAGCAACGCCGCGUGAGUGAAGAAGGUUUUCGGAUCGUAAAACUCUGUUGUUAGAGAAGAACAAGGAUGAGAGUAACUGUUCAUCCCUUGACGGUAUCUAACCAGAAAGCCACGGCUAACUACGUGCCAGCAGCCGCGGUAAUACGUAGGUGGCAAGCGUUGUCCGGAUUUAUUGGGCGUAAAGCGAGCGCAGGCGGUUUCUUAAGUCUGAUGUGAAAGCCCCCGGCUCAACCGGGGAGGGUCAUUGGAAACUGGGAGACUUGAGUGCAGAAGAGGAGAGUGGAAUUCCAUGUGUAGCGGUGAAAUGCGUAGAUAUAUGGAGGAACACCAGUGGCGAAGGCGGCUCUCUGGUCUGUAACUGACGCUGAGGCUCGAAAGCGUGGGGAGCAAACAGGAUUAGAUACCCUGGUAGUCCACGCCGUAAACGAUGAGUGCUAAGUGUUGGAGGGUUUCCGCCCUUCAGUGCUGCAGCUAACGCAUUAAGCACUCCGCCUGGGGAGUACGACCGCAAGGUUGAAACUCAAAGGAAUUGACGGGGGCCCGCACAAGCGGUGGAGCAUGUGGUUUAAUUCGAAGCAACGCGAAGAACCUUACCAGGUCUUGACAUCCUUUGACCACUCUAGAGAUAGAGCUUCCCCUUCGGGGGCAAAGUGACAGGUGGUGCAUGGUUGUCGUCAGCUCGUGUCGUGAGAUGUUGGGUUAAGUCCCGCAACGAGCGCAACCCUUAUUGUAGUUGCCAUCAUUCAGUUGGGCACUCUAGCAAGACUGCCGGUGACAAACCGGAGGAAGGUGGGGAUGACGUCAAAUCAUCAUGCCCCUUAUGACCUGGGCUACACACGUGCUACAAUGGGAAGUACAACGAGUUGCGAAGUCGCGAGGCUAAGCUAAUCUCUUAAAGCUUCUCUCAGUUCGGAUUGCAGGCUGCAAC